This 435-nucleotide ribosomal RNA is filed under the name uncultured bacterium. RNAcentral describes it as "partial 16S ribosomal RNA". It matches the Rfam family "Bacterial small subunit ribosomal RNA", at positions 29 to 507 of the family's 1533-position model. The record is from RNAcentral.
AGCGAACGCUGGCGGCAGGCUUAACACAUGCGAGUCGAGCGGGCACUUUCGGGUGUCAGCGGCGGACGGGUGAGUAACGCGUGGGAACGUGCCCUCUGGUUCGGAAUAACUCAGGGAAACUUGAGCUAAUACCGGAUACGCCCUUUUGGGGAAAGGCUUGCUGCCGGAGGAUCGGCCCGCGUCUGAUUAGCUAGUUGGUGAGGUAACGGCUCACCAAGGCGACGAUCAGUAGCUGGUCUGAGAGGAUGAUCAGCCACACUGGGACUGAGACACGGCCCAGACUCCUACGGGAGGCAGCAGUGGGGAAUAUUGGACAAUGGGCGCAAGCCUGAUCCAGCCAUGCCGCGUGAGUGAUCAAGGCCUUAGGGUUGUAAAGCUCUUUUAUCCGGGACGAUAAUGACGGUACCGGAGGAAUAAGCCCCGGCUAACUUCGUG